UUAAGUACGUUAAGUUGAUUCUAGAAUGCGCUGACUUAUACAAUGUUUUAAAAUCUAAUCGAUGCACAGCGAAUCCUUUCAGUUAGUUGCGCAUGCGAUCGCUAUUUUUUUCUGCUCACCAAAGAACUGUCAGACUUGUCAAGGAAAAUAUCUCGAGUUUAAAAGAAAAGUUUCCCCCACCCUCCUUCUCGCGUCUUAAGCCUUCUUGGCCAAUCGUCUCUCUUCUCACAAACACUUUAGCAGACUAUAAGAGCUCCCCAACUUUUUCCUUUCAACUUAACUCAAAGUUGCUCGGAAUCCCGGAUACCUAGUUAUUUCCCAGACCCAGAGAAUAAACAACGCACGCUUGGAAUUGUAUUUCACCCUCAUGAGGGAAUAACGUCUUGCUUCGCACGCGCUUUCAGCAGACUUGAACGAGAUGCCCGAAGAGCCCGCGCGAGACUCCUCCAGCUCCCCAGUGUCUCCCGCGGACAGCCUCAGCAACAGCGACGGAGAGCCCGACAGGCCACCGAAGAGGAGCGGAAGGAAAAGACGGUCGAGCAAGAAAAACGGGGAGGAUUCCGAUAGCUCGACCCUUGGGAAAAGGGGGAAAAAGUCUAGCAACAGCAGCAACAGCCCUCAGUCUUUUGAGGAGCUGCAGACGCAGCGCGUGAUGGCGAACGUGCGCGAGCGACAGAGGACGCAGUCGCUCAACGAAGCGUUUGCGGCUUUGCGCAAAAUCAUCCCCACUUUACCCUCCGACAAACUGAGCAAAAUACAGACGCUAAAACUCGCCGCCAGAUACAUCGAUUUUCUCUGUCAGGUUCUACAGAGUGACGAGCUGGACUCCAAGAUGGCAAGUUGUAGUUAUGUUGCUCAUGAGCGUUUGAGCUACGCGUUCUCGGUUUGGAGGAUGGAGGGCGCAUGGUCCAUGUCUGCAUCUCACUAGUGUGCAGGGAAACUUUUUUGUUUUUGUUUUCAAAUGGUACGCUUUCACAAUAUCCCUCCGUCUUUAACGAUGUUGUAAACAACUGAGUGAAAGCCAAGAGCUGGGAAAACUCGAGGACCAAUGCGCCGACACAAUGCUAGAUUCCUUCAUAAUCUUGGGGAAAACUGCAAAUGUUCCAACAGAGGUCAUGGCUAUUAUCGAGAGAAGGCCA
Molecule: RNA transcript, 1139 nt
Organism: Onychostoma macrolepis
Lineage: Eukaryota; Metazoa; Chordata; Actinopteri; Cypriniformes; Cyprinidae
Gene: twist1b
Gene name: twist family bHLH transcription factor 1b
Exons: 2
Source: RefSeq, a predicted model, not a curated record